GGAGAGGUGGCCGAGUGGUCGAUGGCGCACGCUUGGAAAGCGUGUAUAGGGGAAACUCUAUCGUGGGUUCGAAUCCCACUCUCUCCGCCA
This 90-nucleotide transfer RNA is filed under the name Phenylobacterium sp. RNAcentral describes it as "tRNA-Ser". It matches the Rfam family "tRNA". Rfam says of the family: Transfer RNA (tRNA) molecules are approximately 80 nucleotides in length. Their secondary structure includes four short double-helical elements and three loops (D, anti-codon, and T loops). RNAcentral also lists the same sequence under 1 other name. Lineage: Bacteria; Pseudomonadati; Pseudomonadota; Alphaproteobacteria; Caulobacterales; Caulobacteraceae. The record is from RNAcentral.